UAUGGAUUGAUAAUUUGUCUUUCUUGUAUUCUGCCCUGUUUUGUGGCUCCUCUGCUCCCCUAUUUUCUAUCAUAAUGCACUUUUUUUAAAGAUAAAUUUUUAAAAAUGACAUGGUAUAAGGCCACGGUCUGUGAAUCGAAUCUUAUAACAUGACAAUAUUUUGGCUUACAAAAUAUACUGUUAUUUGGAAUCUUAUUGAGAAUUGGCACGGUAUGCCCACUCCAAUCUUAUAAAGGCCUCUUCUCCUCAUGCCUGUUAUAUCUAGUUUAUUCAAAAUGGCCUAGAUUUUGUCUUCUCCCCUCAUUUCGGUUUCUGAGGCUAGCACUAAAUCCCGAGGAUGGAUUCAAACAAAAGUCCAUGGGUCUUCGCCUUUUGGAAAUUACUCACGCACAAAGAGUCCGGCUUGCCACAACAUGCCAUCUAAUGUUCUUGUCGGAGAAGAUACGAAAACACUUAAGGGCUCCUUUGGAUGAGAUAGAUAAGAGAAUAGAGGAAUUGUUUGCAGAGAUCAAAAUGCUCUUAAAUUUUGGUGGAAGAUGGGGAAAUAAGUCCCUCUGAAUAUGAUACUGCGUGGGUAGCGAGAGUUCCUGCCAUUAAUGGCUCCGGUGCACCCCAAUUUCCCCAAAUGGUGGACUGGAUUCUUCAGAAUCAGUUACUGGAUGGUUCCUGGGGAGACAAGAGUCGUUCUUUAUCGUGUGAUAGACUACUCAACACUCUUGCCUGCGUAGUUAAUCUAACUAUCAGGAGCGUUGGUAACGAUCAAGUGAACAGAGGUACUGGGGCGAAAGAGGCGUUAGGGAUAUUGAUCUCACAGCCACGGGCUUCAGGCUUCUCAGGAUUUUCGGAUACGCUGUAUCUUCUGACGUUCUGCAAAACAUGAAAGGCGAGGCUGACGAGAUUUGUAAGCUGUCUGGUGUUGAAAAUGGCGCAGGAAUAACCGCUAUAUUGAAUCUGUAUAGAAGCUCAUAGCUUAAUUUCCCGGGCGAAAAUGUAAUGAGAGAAAUAAAAAGCAUUUACGAAAGAUUACUUGAGCAAAUGGCUGGAAAGAGAGAACUUUUCUCAGGCGAAGGCUGUUAAGGAAAGCCUUUGCCAAGAGAUAAUGGGAAUUGUUGCCUUCUCUGAUUUUUUUAUCUUUGAUUUACUACUGAACAUAAUAAUAUAGCUGUCAUGGGCCUCUGUAAUAAAUGAUCAAUCUAUCUGAACGAGCACGGGAGAUUCAAGGUCGUGAUGUGCUUCCUUACCUGCACCAACAGGAUUCAGUGGUUGAAUCAUCUGUUCAGUUUGACAAAAGAAAGAGAAUGGAUGUUAAAAAGUUACUCGCCCUCGUUCGAUGAAUAUAUGAAGAAUGGCUUAGCGUCGGUAGCACUGGAAGUAACUACCCUGACGACAAUAUUUUCUACGGGAGAGAUUCUUUCUGAUAACAUUCUCGAGAAGCUUGACUUUCGAGAAGCUUGAUUAUGGUGUAUUGUUUUAUAAAAAUAAAGUCACAACGAUAAAAUUA
Cryptomeria japonica (Japanese cedar) is the source of this 1501-nucleotide long non-coding RNA. RefSeq lists it as uncharacterized. The record is from RefSeq and is a predicted model, not a curated record. The transcript has 6 exons. Lineage: Eukaryota; Viridiplantae; Streptophyta; Pinopsida; Cupressales; Cupressaceae.